UACGCUGAGGCUCUCCUUGCAAGUGAUGUGGCUGCAGUCAGGAAUUAGACCAUUAACUCUGAGUAGUGCCAGGCUUGUCAAAUUGGGGCAUGGCCAUCACAUUUAUCUAUAAUACCAGACUGUUUGUUCCACUCCUGAGGAAGAUCUACCAGCCACCUGGGGAGGCAAUGUGUUGUCACUAUCAGUACACCUGUGUGGAGGACAGCAGAAAAGCAGCUCCUCCUGUGAGUCAACGUGCUCCCUUCUGAAACAUUCAGUAUGAUUAGCAAGGAGUCUUGUGAAAAGACACACUUGCCCAUGGUCCUUAGGGAACAGUGUGCUGGGAAAACAACAGCGAACUGAGUGAUUUGUUCUGCAGCAUCCUGUCCAGUUCACCCUUCCUUUCAGAGCUGCCUGGUCCUUAAACAAGAACUGUUAGCUAUAGCAAAACAAUAGCCUAUCAUAAUUUCAGAAAAAAGUCUAUAGUGUUCCCCUGAAGACCCAACUCUUCUGCUCCUCCAGUCAGUCAGAGGCUCACUGGGUAGGGAGGUAUCACUGGUACAAGAACCGAAGGAUGGAAAAGCCUC
Athene cunicularia (burrowing owl) is the source of this 566-nucleotide long non-coding RNA. RefSeq lists it as uncharacterized. The transcript is spliced from 3 exons. Lineage: Eukaryota; Metazoa; Chordata; Aves; Strigiformes; Strigidae. The record is from RefSeq and is a predicted model, not a curated record.